RNAcentral lists this ribosomal RNA (440 nucleotides) under uncultured bacterium. RNAcentral's name for it is "bacterial SSU rRNA". It matches the Rfam family "Bacterial small subunit ribosomal RNA", at positions 29 to 507 of the family's 1533-position model. The record is from RNAcentral.
AGCGAACGCUGGCGGCAUGCUUAACACAUGCAAGUCGCACGGGCAGUAGCAAUACUGUCAGUGGCGGACGGGUGAGUAACGCGUAGGAAUCUAUCCUUGAAUGGGGGACAACCGUGGGAAACUACGGCUAAUACCGCAUGAUGCCUGAGGGCCAAAGACGAAAGUCGUUUGAGGAGGAGCCUGCGUCUGAUUAGGUAGUUGGUGGGGUAAAGGCCUACCAAGCCCUACGAUCAGUAGCUGGUCUGAGAGGAUGAUCAGCCACAUUGGGACUGAGACACGGCCCAAACUCCUACGGGAGGCAGCAGUGGGGAAUAUUGGACAAUGGGCGCAAGCCUGAUCCAGCAAUGCCGCGUGGGUGAAGAAGGUCUUCGGAUUGUAAAGCCCUUUUGGCGGGGACGAUGAUGACGGUACCCGCAGAAUAAGCUCCGGCUAACUUCGUG